GACGAACGCUGGCGGCGUGCCUAAUACAUGCAAGUCGAGCGAUGUGGGGACGGGUGAGUACCACGUGGAAAACCUCCUAUAAGUCCGGGAUAACUUCGGGAAACCCGAGCUAAAUCGGCUAUUCAUAGAUCGAUCUUCGCUGCAUUAGCUAGUUGUUAAGGUAACGGUUUACAAAGGCAACGAUGCAUAGCCGACCUGAGAGGGUGAUCGGCCACACUGGAACGGAGACACGGUCCAGACUCCUACGGGAGGCAGCAGUAGGGAAUCUUCCGCAAUGGGCGAAAGCCUGACGGAGCAACGCCGCGUGAGUGAUGAAGGUUUUCGGAUCGUAAAACUCUGUUAUUAGGGAAGCGGUACCUAAUCAGAAAGCCACGGCUAACUACGUGCCAGCAGCCGCGGUAAUAC
Molecule: ribosomal RNA, 405 nt
Filed under: uncultured bacterium
Lineage: Bacteria
Description: partial 16S ribosomal RNA
Rfam family: Bacterial small subunit ribosomal RNA
Source: RNAcentral